Molecule: ribosomal RNA, 506 nt
Filed under: uncultured bacterium
Lineage: Bacteria
Description: partial 16S ribosomal RNA
Rfam family: Bacterial small subunit ribosomal RNA
Source: RNAcentral
GAUGAACGCGAGCUACAGGCUUAACACAUGCAAGUCGAGGGGUAACGAGAGGAAAGCUUGCUUUCCUUGUCGACGACCGGCGCACGGGUGAGUAACGCGUAUCCAACCUGCCCCCAACUAGGGAAUAACCUUGCGAAAGUAAGACUAAUACCCUAUAAUUUCCUCAGAUGUCAUCUGACGAGGAAUAAAGAUUUAUCGGUUGUGGAUGGGGAUGCGUGUGCUUAGCUUGUUGGCGGGGUAACGGCCCACCAAUGCAACGAUCAGUAGGGGUUUUGAGAGGAAGGACCCCAAAAUUGGAACGGGGACACGGUCCAAACUCCUACGGGAGGCAGGAGUGAGGAAUAUUGGUCAAUGGGCGGAAGCCUGAACCAGCCAAGUAGCGUGCAGGAUGACGGCCCUAUGGGUUGUAAACUGCUUUUAUACAGGAAUAAAGUUAACCACGUGUGGUUAUUUGUAGGUACUGUAUGAAUAAGGACCGGCUAAUUCCGUGCCAGCCGCCGCCGUAA